Long non-coding RNA from Heterocephalus glaber (naked mole-rat), 777 nucleotides. The record is from Ensembl. NCBI's taxonomy places the organism in Eukaryota, Metazoa, Chordata, Mammalia, Rodentia, Bathyergidae.
CUGAGGCAGAAGCACUGUGACUGCAUUUAAGACUCAAAAAUUUCAUCUAUUGUAAGAUUCUGUACAAAUUGUUUUGAGUCACCUAUGAACACAACCUGAAUGGAGAAAUGUGUUCCUACUUCCUUGGCUAACUGUGACUGAUUGGUAAUGGCUGUCUGGAUCAUGGUGUUGAGAUAAAUAAUGAGACCUUGCCUCGGCUUGGACAGGAAAAUGGCUGCGAUUAAUUAGAAAUGUCUGCCACGGCCACAAGUCGGGAUCUUCAUAGAUGUGAUCAAGUUAAGGGCUUAUCUUUUCCUCGGGGGAGGAGAAACAGAGAUAUUUCUGCUUGCUGAGGACUCCGGAUGCUCAGUCCUUUAGACCAUCACACCAUACUUCUUCCUUCAAUGAUCGGAAUUUGCUUUUCCUGAUGGAGUUACCUCUUGGAUGAAUCAAGCACUUUUACCUUCUCUACCUGGGUGGCUGGCUCAUAAUUGCCACCAGUCUGUUGGGAUGACCUGAGCUCAGCUCAUACCUUACAGGUUACUGUAACACUUCCUGAAGAUUUACAUUUAUGUUUCAUCUAGAUGUAAUUUAAGAUCUUCUUAAGCUCAAAAGAGUAUAAACGAACUCCCACCUGCUAAGCUGGCUUCCAGGAAUGAUGCAAGAUGGAGCUGUCUCCUUCUUUGAUUGAUCAAAAUAUAAGUAUUAGAACCUUCUCCCAUUUUUUCUUCUUAAUUCUAAAUUCAGUAAUUUACUCGACAAGCACGAUGGUACACACUACCCAGUUUUAAUCAAGGC